This 302-nucleotide ribosomal RNA is filed under the name uncultured bacterium. RNAcentral's name for it is "partial 16S ribosomal RNA". It matches the Rfam family "Bacterial small subunit ribosomal RNA", at positions 508 to 807 of the family's 1533-position model. The record is from RNAcentral.
GCAGCAGCCGCGGUAAUACGAAGGGUGCAAGCGUUACUCGGAAUUACUGGGCGUAAAGCGUGCGUAGGUGGUGGUUUAAGUCCGUUGUGAAAGCCCUGGGCUCAACCUGGGAAUUGCAGUGGAUACUGGGUCACUAGAGUGUGGUAGAGGAUAGUGGAAUUUCCGGUGUAGCAGUGAAAUGCGUAGAGAUCGGAAGGAACAUCUGUGGCGAAGGCGACUAUCUGGGCCAACACUGACACUGAGGCACGAAAGCGUGGGGAGCAAACAGGAUUAGAUACCCCAGUAGUCCCUGUCUCUUAUAC